Talpa occidentalis (Iberian mole) is the source of this 599-nucleotide long non-coding RNA. RefSeq lists it as uncharacterized. The transcript is spliced from 3 exons. NCBI's taxonomy places the organism in Eukaryota, Metazoa, Chordata, Mammalia, Eulipotyphla, Talpidae. The record is from RefSeq and is a predicted model, not a curated record.
GACUGGUUCUGUGGCGGAGGAGGGAGUCUCGGCGGCCUCGAGCCGCUCCCUGGAAUGCUGCCCCCAGGCCCGGCCUUUACUGCUGGAGGUGGAGUCUCAGGGCUUGAGCCCGGCUCUGCCUUCAGGGUCUUUAUAUUGCUUUUUCUUUAUAUUUUCAGCUGCCAUUCAUGUGCCUAGAGAUACUGCGUAUUUUUUGGUUUUAAGUCUAAUUGGAUUUUUUUCCUGCCUUUUUUAAAAAAGAACGACCUGUGCAGCAAUAGAUAUUAGAGAAGACGAAAGGGGAACAUAACACACCUGCCUUCCACAGGCAGUUGUGUAGACGCUUUCUGCGGACAGCCCCGGCCCAACUGCCGCCCAGGCACCUGGAUAGAUAGAGGUGGGCAUCAUCUGGCGGGACCCAGCCUGCAGGAGCCCAGUCUCAGGCCUGCUUUUUGAGGUGAUCCUCAUCUCAUCUCAACCCACAAGGACUUACCCACGGAAAGCCCAGGCCAUGAAAACUCCCUUGGUCUCAGCAACUGGAAAAUCUGUGUCAUCAGAGAUUUCGCUAGAAAAGUCAUCUCUUCCGCUCCCUGCAGUUUUGAAGAAGCAAGGAACAAGUG